GCAGAGUUGGGGAGAAGGAGGUAGGAGUACAGCAAGUGAAAUACCUGCUUAUUGCUCCUUCUGCAAUUCAGUCAAUCUGUAAUAAAUAUUCCUCACAUUAUUCCAAGCCUUUAUUUCCAAAGUUCUGAAGAAAUUGAGUGAUCUUUUUUUUUUUUUAACCGGUGUUAUUUUUAUGGACAAGAGGCUUUCAGGUUUCCUUAUUUUGCCAUUUCUAGGGGGGUCAUCACUUACUCAUUUUUGACUUUGAAAUAGUUUUUAAAAUUUCCACUCGUGUUAUUUUUCUAAGGUAUAUUUUUGAAUAAAAUAAUACUAUUGAUUGUGCUAAUGUUCUAUUUAUGACCCUGCAGAUCAACUGUCAAUUUUCCACACCUGCCUGUGACCCAUGAGGCUGGCCUUCACGGACUGCUUCAACCAGCAUCUCCGGCUCUCUGGUUUCCAGGUGUCCUCGGACAACAGGAAACACCACCAUGAGACAGGAAAACACAAGAAGAGAGAGAUAAAGAAAACAGGAAGGAAACAGAUUGAGACCUCUGGAAACAGAUAUGGAGACAGAGUUGCAUGCCGAAGAUUUACUGGAGAGCACUCUUGGGGGAUACACCUAUAAGGAAGUUGAUAAAAGCAAAAUGGAUGCAGAGAGAGGCUGACUCGUGAUGCAGCUGCAUCCAGGACAUCAGCUGAUCUUAUAUGGAGAUAGAAUAACCCUUCAGGGUUGUCUCAAAUUGAGGCUAGAUGGCUGAGACUUCGAAUCUCUGCUUCAGCCAAUUACUAGCUGAGAAUCACCUCUGGUGGGAGUUACAACAUUGGGUCAGGCUGUUCUUGGCGGCCCAGUGAAAUUCCCAUAAAAGGUACUUCUGUGAGCCAUCAGCAGUUGACAAUCCUAGCAGCUGGGGGAUGGGGAUGCUACUUGGAAAGGUGGUCCCCUACAGCCCAUCCUUUGUGCCAUUUAUGUUCACUUGUUUUUCCUAAUAAUUUGCCCCAUUUGGGAUAGCUUCUUCAAGAUGUGUUGCUGCAGUUGAUCUUGAAGCUGUAACUGAGACUCAGUCAUCCCCUUUCUCUAUCAUUCAUUCUAGAUUCUCCUUUCUACAGCUAGCACCAAACCUGGUCUGGGUCAAUUUUUUGGUGAGAUGACCUAAACCUUUGUCUUGGAAGAGUCUGAAGCCCUGGUUACCAUGCCCAUCUCAGGUGAUGCUACUCUGAAUUAUAAGUGUUACAAGAAUUAUAACACUUGUAGUUUGUGGAAUGUGCACAGCUCGUUGCAUCCUGUGGUAGUAUAAUGCUUUAAAUUUUCACUGGUGGUGAGCUUGAAUGGCAUGCUGAUAGAAGGGGCCCCGCUGGCUGCUACAGUAUUUAAAAUACUAGAAAGGAAACAGGGAAAUUGUAAAUAUAAGGACGGAGAAUUGGGUGGCUGCUGCUGAACUGACUUGAUUCAUUCAAGAGACAUAAUUGACAGGCUCUCUAUGAUUAAUCAACAAUUAAAAGAAAAAUGAGAAAGCUUUUAAGACAAAAUGAUGGCAUUAUCCCCACUCCAAGUUCAACAACUGACUCCAGGCAUGAAAGCAUACUCCAGCCCACCAUUUGAGAUGACAUCAUUUUGGCCGGGCGCCAUAGCUUAUGCCUGUAAUCCCUGCACUUUGGAAGGCCGAAGCAGGCAGAUUAUCUGAGGUCAGGAGUUUGAGACCAGCCUGGCCAACAUGGUGAAACCCCAUGUCUAGUGAAAAAAAAAAUUAACCAGGUGUGGAGGCAGGCACUUUCCAUCCCAGCUACUCGGGAGGCUGAGGCAGGAGAAUCGCUUGAACCCGGGAGGCUGAGGUUACACUGAGCUGAGACUGCGCCACUGCACUCCAGCUUGGGUGACAAGAGCGAGACUCUCUUAAAAAAAAAAAAAAAAGGAAGGAAGGAAGGAAGGAAGAAAAGAAAGAAAGAAAGAAAGAAAGAAAGAAAGAAAGAAAGAAAGAAAGAAAGAAAGAAAGAAAGAAAGAAAGAAAGAGAAAGAAAGAAGGAAGGAAGGAAGGAAGGAAGGAAGGAAGGAAGGAAGGAAAGAAAGAAAGAAGGAAAGAAAGAAGGAAAGAAAGAAAGAAAAAAGAAAAGAAAGAAGAGAUGGCAUUGUUUCUCUGGAACUUAGUUCCUUUAUAAUUCAAUAUGUUCACAACUCUCCAGUGAACUGAGAGGAAAACAUUUUUUUUCAUUUUUUGUUGUAAUAGCAAUAUAGUGGUUUUAAAAUUAUGUCCACGAAUUCUUUCAAACUCUCUCCUUCAAGAGGUAAAAUCUAAUUUUCACCUACUUGAGUAUGGGCUGGAUUAGGGACAUACUUCUGAUGAAUGA
Papio anubis (olive baboon) is the source of this 2322-nucleotide long non-coding RNA. The record is from Ensembl. Lineage: Eukaryota; Metazoa; Chordata; Mammalia; Primates; Cercopithecidae.